AGGUCAGGAUCUUCCAGGAAGAAGAGAUCCAAUAAAGUACAAAAGAAGCCAUUUGUAAAAUGAGCAUGCUUGAAAAUAUGUGAGACAGCCUGGCUUUGAAGUCACCAUCCCCCUGCCACAGCCUCCCAGGUGUGGAUACAGGUACUUGUUUUUCCUGAGAAUAUGAAAUCAAUGGAGUCACAGACAAUAAAAUAUUCCUACAGGACACUUAUUGAGACAUGGCAUCAUGGAGUCCUCCAUGCUAAUUACUGCAAAUUAACAAGUAUGUGAACAGCAAUGCACUGUGUGGCUGUUUGGCCCACAGGCUUCAUCCCCCAUCUACCGCCUCCUCCUCGAGUCAUGGAGCAAUAUGUGACAGUGUGGGCAGAGAUGCCAUCUGGAAGACCUGCGAGGACAUGCUGUGUGUGUACAUUAGGACAAGGCAUGCCAAUCUCUGGGGGCUCUUUCUUACUGAGCUGGAUGCUGGGGAACAUUACCAGGGUGGAGAGUACUAUAGGCUGGAGGGCUGUCUGUCUCGAGACAUCUAGUCGCCAUUUGUCUCACUGGAUCCUAGGCACAGGAGCAGAGCCGAUCCUUAGGGUAGGACUCUGCUCAGAGGACUGGAGGGCAGCAUGACAAGCUAGGCAGGAAAAUUAACUUAACAAGCACUUACCUGUCAUGUGUUCAGGCUUGUUUAGAGCUUGAGGGAUUCACAACUGGGAAUGCUCCCACCCUGGGAUUUCCCAGGGUAACUGGUGGUGUUGGCCAUUCAGGGCAAAUAGGCAUUCAGAUGCCAAUUUUAGUCACACAGCAGACAGAUCAUUGCUGUAACUACAAAUAUUUUAAGACAAAAUAGGAUUGAAUUUGUCAUGGAAAUAAUAGCCUUAAGUUUCAGGAGAAAUAUUUGAAACACUCCUUGUUAGAGAUAAGUAAGAUGACCGUGUUCACCAUACAGUUCAUACUAAGCUUUGUGUAACAUACAAGGUUCCAGGGCAUGAAACUGUAAGUUCCCCAGAACACACAGCAUUGAAGAAAAACAGGAAAUGCAACAGAAUAGAGGUCUAUGCUAGACAAGAAUGGGAACUUAAUACAGAAAUCUUUGAUGGUAAGUAAAAGGAAAGGAUUGGCUCAUAUGUAUACACACCUGGCAAUAAAAGUUAUUUUACAAGAUUCUCUGAAAAGUAUACUUUGAAUGUAGGUCACUACAGCCUCAUACAUAUAUUGCUUCUUGAAAUAAAGCUACCAGCAAAUAUCUGCUCAGCACUGGGCUGAUAUUAUCUUUGUUACUGAUCCUCCUAGUUAAGAAGAAUUG
Molecule: long non-coding RNA, 1291 nt
Organism: Mus musculus (house mouse)
Lineage: Eukaryota; Metazoa; Chordata; Mammalia; Rodentia; Muridae
Product: predicted gene, 36007
Exons: 5
Source: RefSeq, a predicted model, not a curated record